This 72-nucleotide transfer RNA is filed under the name Bos taurus (domestic cattle). It matches the Rfam family "tRNA". Rfam says of the family: Transfer RNA (tRNA) molecules are approximately 80 nucleotides in length. Lineage: Eukaryota; Metazoa; Chordata; Mammalia; Artiodactyla; Bovidae. RNAcentral also lists the same sequence under 5 other names. The record is from Rfam by way of RNAcentral.
UCCCUGGUGGCUCAGUUGGUAAAGAAUCUGCCUGUAAGGCAGGAGAUCCAAGUUUGAUUUUUGGGUUGGGAA